AUGAGCAACUGCACAAAUCUCAAAACCAUUGAUCUGAAGAUCAACAACUUCACUGGAGAUCUAGGGAAGGUAAACUUCGCCACCCUACAGAAUCUAAAAAGUUUAGAUCUCAUGGAGAAUAAUCUUGGUGGCAUAGUUCCAGAAAGCAUUUACUCAUGCAGCAAUUUGACUGCACUGCGGUUGUCAGCCAACCAUUUCCAUGGUGAGAUCUCCCUGAGAAUAGGCAAUCUGAAGCACCUGUCCUUCGUAUCACUUAGUAGAAACUCCUUUACGAAUAUCACAAAAGCUUUGCAUGCUCUUAAGAGCUGCAGGAACAUCAGCACUCUGCUUAUUGGCAGAAACUUUAUGAAUGAGGCCAUGCCACAAGAUGAAAGCAUUGACGGUUUUCAGAAUCUUCAGUUUCUCGCCAUGCACCAGUGUUCAUUGACUGGGAGGAUACCUACUUGGUUAUCAAAGCUCACAAGGCUGAAGGUACUAGUAUUAUCUAAAAAUCAACUUACUGGACCAAUGCCAAGCUGGAUCAACUCCCUAAACAACCUCUUCCAUCUGGACGUAUCAAACAACAGUCUUUCUGGGAAAAUCCCAGUCACCUUGAUGGAGAUGGCAAUGCUAAAAUCAGAUAAGCCUGCCAUCUAUUUGGACCCAAGUCUCGUUGACCUUGAUCUACUUAUUUAUGCUGUGGAUGCAUCAAAACUUCAAUACCGCAUAAACAGUGAUUGGUGCAAAGUGCUGAAUCUCGGUAACAAUAAAUUCACAGGUGUGAUCCCACAAGAGAUUGGUCAGCUGAAAGCACUCCUUUACCUGAACUUGAGUUCCAACAACUUCUAUGGAGAGAUCCCACAAUCAAUCGGCAACCUCACUAACCUUCAGAGGUUAGAUUUGUCUAAUAACCAUCUGACUGGUGAAAUUCCUGCAGCAUUGGAGAUCCUUCACUUCCUUUCAGAGUUCACCAUUUCUAACAAUGACCUAGAAGGACCUAUUCCAACAACAGGCCAGCUGAGCACAUUUCAAGCUUCUAGUUUUAAUGGGAACCCAAAGCUGUGUGGCCCUAUGCUUAUUAACCAUUGUAGUUCGGUUGAAGCGGCUCCCAUCUCCAUCAUUUCUGCAAAAAAAUGCAGCAGUAAGGUCAUUUUUGUGACAGCCUUUGGUGUGUUCUUUGGGGUAGGAGUGCUAUAUGACCAGUUAGUAUUAUUUAGAUAUUUUGGCUAA
Molecule: ribosomal RNA, 1209 nt
Filed under: Triticum aestivum (bread wheat)
Lineage: Eukaryota; Viridiplantae; Streptophyta; Magnoliopsida; Poales; Poaceae
Description: partial small subunit ribosomal RNA
Source: RNAcentral